RNAcentral lists this ribosomal RNA (253 nucleotides) under uncultured bacterium. RNAcentral describes it as "partial 16S ribosomal RNA". It matches the Rfam family "Bacterial small subunit ribosomal RNA", at positions 524 to 776 of the family's 1533-position model. The record is from RNAcentral. RNAcentral also lists the same sequence under 1 other name.
UACGGAGGGUGCAAGCGUUAUCCGGAUUCACUGGGUUUAAAGGGUGCGUAGGAGGGCAGGUAAGUCAGUGGUGAAAUCUCCGGGCUCAACUCGGAAACUGCCGUUGAUACUAUCUGUCUUGAAUAUCGUGGAGGUGAGUGGAAUAUGUCAUGUAGCGGUGAAAUGCUUAGAUAUGACAUAGAACACCAAUUGCGAAGGCAGCUCACUACACGUAUAUUGACUCUGAGGCACGAAAGCGUGGGGAUCAAACAGG